GGCCAGAUAGCCAAGUAGUAAGGCAGAAGUCUGCAAAACUUCUAUACGUGGGUGCAAUUCCCACUCUGGCCU
RNAcentral lists this transfer RNA (72 nucleotides) under Patescibacteria group bacterium. RNAcentral describes it as "tRNA-Cys". It matches the Rfam family "tRNA". From Rfam's summary of the family: Transfer RNA (tRNA) molecules are approximately 80 nucleotides in length. Their secondary structure includes four short double-helical elements and three loops (D, anti-codon, and T loops). The record is from RNAcentral.